RNAcentral lists this small nuclear RNA (311 nucleotides) under Tursiops truncatus (common bottlenose dolphin). RNAcentral describes it as "7SK RNA (ENSTTRG00000023856.1)". It matches the Rfam family "7SK RNA". Rfam says of the family: 7SK was discovered as an abundant small nuclear RNA in the mid-70s but a possible function has only recently been suggested. Two independent studies have found that 7SK RNA binds the CDK9/cyclin T complex (known as elongation factor P-TEFb). Lineage: Eukaryota; Metazoa; Chordata; Mammalia; Artiodactyla; Delphinidae. The record is from Rfam by way of RNAcentral.
GGCUGCGAGGGCAAUCUGGCUGUGACAUCUGUCAUCCCAUUGAUCGCCAGGGUUUGAUUCUGCUGAUCUGGCUGGCUAGGCGGGUGUCCCCUUCCUCUCGCACCUCUCCAUGUGUGUCCCUCCCGAAGCUGCACGCUCGGUCGAAGAGGACGACCUUCCCCAAUAGAGGAGGACCAUUCUCCGGUCAAGGGUAUACGAGAAGCUGCUCUCCCCUGUUAGAACCUCCAAGGUAGUCUGGGAGGAGUUACCCUAGUACAGUAGGAUUCAGUGAACAAGUGGUCACCGGAGGUCACAUUCAUUGGCCUUCAGGU